AGACCGCGAACACGUGUUAAUAAGCUCCGCCGGCCUAACGCUUGCGUCCGGCCGGCUAACGAACCCCGGCGCGGCAAGCGCCAAGGAAAACUCAAAGGAUUCGUCGUCCCCCCGGCGCCCGUCCGCGGUGCGUCUCGGGUGCGCGACGUCCCUCGAAUGUCUAAACGACUCUCGGCAACGGAUAUCUCGGCUCUCGCAUCGAUGAAGAACGUAGCGAAAUGCGAUACUUGGUGUGAAUUGCAGAAUCCCGUGAACCAUCGAGUCUUUGAACGCAAGUUGCGCCCGAAGCCUUCUGGCCGAGGGCACGCCUGCCUGGGCGUCACGCAUCGCGUCGCCCCCUCCGAAUCCUUAGGGACGAACGGGCGGGAGCGGAAAUUGGUCUCCCGCGAGCCUCCGGGCUCGUGGCCGGCCUAAAUAAGAUCCCGCAUCGACGGAUGCCUCGACCAGUGGUGGUGGUAAUCCGCUCUAUUGCUGUCGAGCCGCACGUCGCUUGCCGGGCAUCGCUCGAAACCCAACGGCGCUUCGCGCGCCUUCGACCGCGACCCCAGGUCAGGCGGGACUACCCGCUGAGUUUAAGCAUAUCAUAAGCCGCAGGACUUACACUUCACUCCCAUU
Molecule: ribosomal RNA, 615 nt
Filed under: Veronica ferganica
Lineage: Eukaryota; Viridiplantae; Streptophyta; Magnoliopsida; Lamiales; Plantaginaceae
Description: eukaryotic LSU rRNA
Rfam family: 5.8S ribosomal RNA (bases 167-322)
Source: RNAcentral